This 800-nucleotide ribosomal RNA is filed under the name Weissella cibaria. Its description in RNAcentral is "bacterial SSU rRNA". It matches the Rfam family "Bacterial small subunit ribosomal RNA", at positions 60 to 815 of the family's 1533-position model. The record is from RNAcentral. Lineage: Bacteria; Bacillati; Bacillota; Bacilli; Lactobacillales; Lactobacillaceae.
AGUCGACGCUUUGUGGUUCAACUGAUUUGAAGAGCUUGCUCAGAUAUGACGAUGGACAUUGCAAAGAGUGGCGAACGGGUGAGUAACACGUGGGAAACCUACCUCUUAGCAGGGGAUAACAUUUGGAAACAGAUGCUAAUACCGUAUAACAAUAGCAACCGCAUGGUUGCUACUUAAAAGAUGGUUCUGCUAUCACUAAGAGAUGGUCCCGCGGUGCAUUAGUUAGUUGGUGAGGUAAUGGCUCACCAAGACGAUGAUGCAUAGCCGAGUUGAGAGACUGAUCGGCCACAAUGGGACUGAGACACGGCCCAUACUCCUACGGGAGGCAGCAGUAGGGAAUCUUCCACAAUGGGCGAAAGCCUGAUGGAGCAACGCCGCGUGUGUGAUGAAGGGUUUCGGCUCGUAAAACACUGUUGUAAGAGAAGAAUGACAUUGAGAGUAACUGUUCAAUGUGUGACGGUAUCUUACCAGAAAGGAACGGCUAAAUACGUGCCAGCAGCCGCGGUAAUACGUAUGUUCCAAGCGUUAUCCGGAUUUAUUGGGCGUAAAGCGAGCGCAGACGGUUAUUUAAGUCUGAAGUGAAAGCCCUCAGCUCAACUGAGGAAUUGCUUUGGAAACUGGAUGACUUGAGUGCAGUAGAGGAAAGUGGAACUCCAUGUGUAGCGGUGAAAUGCGUAGAUAUAUGGAAGAACACCAGUGGCGAAGGCGGCUUUCUGGACUGUAACUGACGUUGAGGCUCGAAAGUGUGGGUAGCAAACAGGAUUAGAUACCCUGGUAGUCCACACCGUAAACGAUGAGUG